GGAGUCCCGCUUCCCCUGGACCGGAGGCUGCCAUCUCCAGUCCUACCCACUCCGACGCUGGCUGGUGCCGGGGGCCGGGACGCUCCGUACGCCGCCCGCCAGGGUGUGGAGCCGCACUGGGGCAAGAUCAGGUGGGACAGCCCAAAGACUCCGGGCCAAGUUCCUGGGGGACUCGGCGGAGAUGGAAGAUGAUUCUCGAAGCUCUCCAUUUCCUUAAUUUUGAGUUAUCUUCAGUCCUUCUUCAAUGCUGUGACUGAGUGCUUGCUGAUUAUUGUGCUUGCUGAUCCUGACUAAUACUCUCUCUUGAUGAGCUUCAUAUUCAUCACGACUUGGAUAAAUUUUGCUGAUGAGUGCAUCAAACUUUGGGUCUGGCCUUGGUGAUCUUUUGGAAACUAGUUUUUUCCAACAGGUUUCCCAUUUCCCUAAACAUGGAAACAGAAGACCUCCUAGGACGUCUCCAUUGCGGGAGGGAGACUGCAGAGGUCUCCGGCCACAGGACUGAGGAAAACCGCAAAAAGACGCGGUCACUACUAGGCGGAGUUAAACUAUGGAGCCGGUACCCCCAAUACCCUGCCCGGCAAGGCCGCCUCGUGACGUCCCCGUCUGACAGAGUCCCUCCCCAUAGGGCCGCGACAGAACCACCGCACGAUGGGACACGCGAGGAAGGGGGCUCCGGGCCCCAUCCCCAGGGAGCAAGAAGACGCAGAGGACCGCGCCGGUUCAGGUGCCGCUGGAGAAAUGGAAUCUGACGGAGAAACUGAUCUGGGGCGGCAGCCCGCUAGGUUCGCCUGACUCACUAAAUGCUACUACAGUGCCCCACACGGACUGCCACGAGCGGGUCACGUGACUGGACUCUGGAUCGGCUGUGCUGUGAUGGCCGCGUAGCGCGCUGCUGUGCGCGCGAGACUAUAAGCCUCUGGGCCGCCGGUGCCUCCGCGCGGUCACCGCCUCCACCCGCCUGGCCGCUUCCCUCGGCGCAUGCGUAGCACACCGACUCCAGGAUUGUUUCCCAAAUCCCACUUCCGCCACUUCCUCCUCCCGAGACCAGCCAAGCGCGCCUGGCUGUCUGCCCUUCUUGGGCUCUUGGGGAGAACGUGGUCCGGGAACUGGCAGUCACGGGGAGGCAGCACAAGAGGUUUUCGCCCUCAUGUGCUGGUGCAACUAUCGCGACCAUCACCCUGAGAACUGGAGGAAGGGUGCCGCAGGCAAAGAGUGGCGCGCCUGCAGAUUCGGUUCCGCGCUUGGGGCUCUCGCGAGACCCGGCGCUGGAGUGUGGACCGCGCGUGCCGGUGACGCGUGGUGCAGACACGUCGCCGGUGCCUCUCUCCCUAGGCCUUCCUGGGGGUGAGCUUCCGUCCCAGACGUCUUCGGUCCUACACUGCUUCCAUUUCUUUUUUUUUUUUUUCCUUCUUUUUUUCUUUGAGACAGGGGCUCAUUCUAUCACCCAGGCUGGAGUGCAGCGGCGCGAUCUCGGCCCACCGUAAGCUCCGCCUCCCGGGCUCAAGCGAUCCUCCCACUUCAGCCUCCUGAGUAGCUGGGACUCCAGGUGAGCGCCCUGCUAAUUUUAUAUUUUUGGUAGAGACGGGGUUUCGCCAUGUUGCCCAGGCUGGUCUCAACUCCUGGUCUCAAGUGAUCCGCCUGCCUUGGCCUUCCAAAGUGCUGGGCUUACAGGCGGGAGCCACUGCACCCAGCCCUACGCCCCAUCUUUCUGGGUUUCUGCCUGGUAUUGUUACAUCUCCAACAGGCUUAACUCAAAGCUGACUUUCCGCCUGUGCUGUAUCUGCCCCAUGGUCCUUUAGAGUAUAUAAAAUAUAAAUGGCACUUUGGGAGGCCGAGGCAGGAGGAUUGCUUGAGCUCAGGAGUUACUGACCAGCCUGGGCAACAUAGUGAGACCCCCGUCUCAUUAAAAAAUAAUAAUGCAGGCAGGGCGCAGUGGCUCAUGCCUGUAAACCGAGCACUUUCGGAGGCCAAGGUGGGCGGAUCGCCUGAGAUUGGGAGUUCGAGACCAGCCUGACCAACAUGGAGAAACCCCAUCUCUACUAAAAAUACAAAAUUAGUUGGGCGUGGUGGUGCGUGCCUGUAAUCCCAGCUAUUCAGGAGGCUGAGGCAGGAGAAUCGCUUGAACCCGGGAGACGGAGCUUACAGUGAGUCGAGAUGAGCCACUGCACUCCAGCCUGGGCAACAAGAGCGAAACUCCAUCUCAAAUAAUAAUAAUAAUACAAAUAAAUAAAUGUACACACACAAAUAAAUGGACUUGAUAGCGAUUUUUUUAGGUUUUCAGCUGCCCAAUUCAAGAAAUGUAUUUCUUCUUGUCCCUGAUUUCCGUCACUGUCCCAAGGCAGUGGGAUUAAAGCACCACUACCGUUUUUAGAUCCUUGUGUUUGGCAUUCCAUGUCCUCCUCUCAAGACGUUUGACGUAACUUUCUCCAUCUGCUCUGUUGAAACAUAUGCUUCAAAAUCUUUUUUUUUUUUUUUUUGAGACGGAGUCUCGCUCUGUUGCCCAGGCUGGAGUGCAGUGGCGCGAUCUCGGCUCACUGCAAGCUCCGCCUCCCGGGUUCAAGUGAUUCUCCUGCCUCAGCCUCCCAAGUAGCUAGGACUACAGGCGCCCGCCACCAAGCCCGGCUAAUUUUUUGUAUUUUUAGUAGAGACGGGGUUUCACCGUGUUAGCCAGGAUGGUCUCGAUCUCCUGACCUCGUGAUCCACCUGCCUCGGCCUCCCAAAUUGUUGGGAUUACAGGCGUGAGCCACUGCACCCAGCCUACCAGCCUAGACCUAGUUUUAGUUCCUUUUUUUGCUUCACUCCAUUGUAGCUUAGGAAGCUAGUUUCAAUUCCGGAUUCUACCGUCUAUCUGUAUGACUGGGCCUUUGGUCAGUCUUUCUAAAAUGAAGAUUGCUCAUUUUACAAAUGAGUAAAAACUACCUGACAUGUAGUGCAGGCUUUGUAAAGCACUCAUCAUGCUGCUUGUCAUACUGUAAGCACUGAUAUGGCAUAGGAAACCCAACCCCCAAACAUAGCACCUUGGAAGUUGAGAAAACAGCAUAUACUGGAAGGCCACUGUCACAUCUCCCUCACCCGUCUCUGAAGCAGGCCAUAAAGCCUAGGAAGGUCAUCCUCUUAUCUCUCUUGAAAACCCUCAUGUGGCAGGUGUCCUGCCCUAUAUCAGGGUGGAAGGAAUGUCACACAGGGACACCAAGAAUAAUCUGAACAAACAGGUCUUGCUAAUCUCAUGCCCCCAAUUUAUUACCGUGAGAUCAUACCCGCUUUGUUCAAUCAUACUUCUGCACAACUAUCCACUUUCUCAAACCUAUGCAUAAAAGUACACAGACUUUUCUUUGGGUCAUUUCCUUAGGAAGACUCCCCAUCAUGUAAAACUUAUAUUACACAAAUUUGUAUGCUUUUCUCUUGUUAAUCUGUAUUUUGUUAUAGGAGUCUCAGCCAUGAACCUUACCAUGGUUAAGGAAAACUUGCUUUUUCUUCUCUACACACUCAAAUAAAUUAGUUUGCCUCCUUUUCCAUGCUUACCCAAUAUAAAAUAGUAAAAUGCCUCUUUUUUUUUUUUUUUUUUUUUUUUUCUGAGAGGGAGUCUCGCUCUGUUGCCCAGGCUGGAGUGCAGUGGCGCGAUCUCGGCUCACUGCAACCUCCGCCUCCCAGGUUCAAGCAAUUCUCCAGCCUCAGCCUCCUGAGUAGCUCGGAUUAUAGGUGCCUGCCACCACGCGUGGCUAAUUUUUGUAUUUUUAGUAGAGAAAGGGUUUCGCCAUAAUGGUCAGGCUGGUCUCGAAUUCCUGACCUGAGGUGAUCCACCCAUCUUGACCUCCCAAAGUGCUGGGAUUGCAAGCGUGAGCCACUGCGCCCGGCCUAAAAUGCCUCUUAGUAAGACUUAAUUUCUGUCCAGGCAUGGUGGUUCAUGCCUGUAACCCCAACACUUUGGGAGGCCGAGGCGGGUGGAUCACCUGAGGUCAGGAGUUCGAGACCAGCCUGGCCAACAUGGUGAAACCCCAUCUCUAAUAAAAAUACAAAAAGCAUUAGCCGGGCAUGGUGGCGGUGCCUGUAAUCCCAGCUACUCGGGUGGCUGAGGCAUGAGAAUCACUUGAAUCCGGGAGGUGGAGGUUGCAGUGAGCUGAGAUGGCGCCACUGCACUCAAGCCUGGGUGACACAGCAAAAAUCUGCCUCAAAAAAACAAAAUAAAAAAUGAGAAAAAAUACUUAAUUUGUGCUGUGCCACCAAAAAAUGUGCAUGCUAGAAACUGUACUUUACACUAUGACAUUUUAUGUAACUGUCUUAUUUCCCCCAUGAGACUGCAGUGGUCUCAAGGGUAGAGGAUUGACCUUGUCCAUAUGUGUUUUCUAGGCUUCCAUCAUUUGCCACAGACUGAGACAUGUACUAAGUUGUACGCCGUAAAUACUUCAUAAAUAGUUACUGAAGGCAUAAAUAGGCAGAGAGUAGAGUUUGUUUGUUUGUUUGUUUGCUUACAAAAAAAGGGAAAAGAAAGCAAAUGCUGAAAAAACUUGCUGUUAAACCAUGCACGCACGACAUGAGGUCUUUGUAAUUGGUUCAGGAAGAUUUCCUUCUCCCCAUGCUCCACCCUCUUCAUUACAAAGAUGAAAUUAUUUUUAUGUUUAAUAUUUAUUUAUUUAUUGAGACGGAGUUUUGCUCUUGUUGCCCAGUCUGGAGUGCAAUGGCAUGAUCUCAGUUCACUGCAACCUCCAUCUCCUGGGUUCAAGCGAUUCUCCUGCCUUAGCCUCCCAAGUAGCUAGGAUUAUAGGCAUGCGCCACCAUGCUCAGAUAAUUUUGUAUUUUUAGUAGAGAUGGGGUUUAGCCAUGUUGGUCAGGCUGGUCUCGAACUCCUGACCUCAGGUGAUCCGCCCGCCUUUGCCUUCCCAAAGUGUUGGGGUUAUAGGUGUGAGCCACUGCAUCUAGCCUUUUUUUUUUCUUUUUUUCUUUUGAGACAGAGUCUCACUCUGUUGCCCAGGCUGGAGUGCAGUGUCAUGUGAUCUUCGCUCACUGCAACCUCCUCCUCCCAGGUUCAAGUAGUUCUUCUGUCUCAGCCUCCUGAGUAGCUGGGACUACAGGCACCCGCCACCACACUCAGCUAAUUUUUUGUAUUUUUAGUAAAGACAGGGUUUCACCAUAUCGGUCAGGCUGGUCUUGAACUCCUGACCUCAGGUGAUCCACCCGCCUCAGCCUCCCAAAGUGCUGGGAUUAUAGGCUUGAGCCACCACGCCCAGCCAUGGCCUAUUAUUAUUAUUAUUAUUAUUAUUAUUACUAUUAUUAUUAUUAUUAUUAUUAUUUUGUGACAGAGUCUUGCUCUGUUGCCAGGCUGGAGUGCAGUGGUGCUAUCUUGGCUCACUGCAACCUCCACCUCCCAGGUACAAGCGAUUCUGCUGCCUCAGCCUUCUGAGUAGCUGGGAUUAUAGGCGCGCGCCACGACACCCAGCUAAUUUUUGUAUUUUUAGUAGAGACGAGGUUUCACCAUGUUGGCCAGGAUGGUCUCAAUCUCUUGACCUCAUGAUCCGCCUGCCUUGGCAUCCCAAAGUGCUGAGAUUACAGCCAUAUAUUUAUUAUUAUUAUUAUUAUUAUUAUUAUUUUGAGACAGGUUCUUGCUCUGUCACCCAGCCUGGAGUGCAGUGGCAUGAUCUUGGCUCACUGCAACCUCUGCCUCCUGGGAUCAAGCAAUUCUCUUGCUUUAGCCUCCCGAGUAGCUGGGAUUACAGGCACACAACACCACACCUGCCUAAUUCUUCUACGUUUUGUAGAGAUGGAGUCUCGCCAUGUUGCCCAGCCUGGUCUUGAAUUCCUGGCUUCAAGUGAUCCUCUAGCCUCAGCCUCCCAAAUUGCUGGGAUUACAAGGAUGAGCCAAUGCACCCAGCCUGUGUUUAUUCUUUUAAAUGAUAGUAAAGUACAAUAGAGGGAGAGAAUUGCAGGUUAUAUUUUUUGUUUGUUUCUCUGUUUUUUAUUUAAUGUCUCCCCAGAAACCUCCAUAGGUGCUUCACUUUCUAGUUUAGUUCCUGCUAAUUUUAAUAGCUCAAAUGUUACCCUAUCAGGGGUGUCAGUGGGAGAGCCCUGCGGAAGUGGAGUUCCCUGAGGAGGAAAGUUUCUACAUUCAGAAAAGACUUGGCUUGGGUUUUGUCGGGAGGUAAAAAUGGGUCAGUGACUCAGAAAAGCUUGCCUAAAAGCUGACAUCUAGUGUUCAUUUCUGAAAAUAUGUCCUGACAUACUAACCCUGAGAUUUUCUAUCCCAAGAACUGUUUUUAUUGAUUUUAUUGUUACGCACCAGAUUUCAAGACCAUUUGACUACCCAAAGAAACACAACUUAGAAAAUAAUUAUGGUUUUCACUUUGUUUUAAUCACAAUACAUAUAAUACUGCCAAAACAGGACUUUGGAUCAACAGACAUAAUAGCAAUUAUUAUUAUUUUAUUUUACUUAUUAUUAUUAUUUUUGAGACGGAGUGUCACUCUAUUGCCCAAGCUGGAGUGCAGUGGCAGGAUCUUGGCUGACUGCAACCUCCGCCUCUCGGGUUCAAGCGAUUCUCCUGCCUCAGCCUCCCAGGUAGCUGGGAUUACAGGCAUGCGCCACCAGGCCUGGCUAAGUUUGUAUUUUUAGUAGAGAUGGGGUUUCACCAUGUUGGCCAGGCUGGUCUCGAACUCCUGACCUCAGGUGAUUCACCUGCCUCGGCCUCCCAAAGUGCUGGGAUUACAGGCGUGAGCCACUGCACCUGGCCAGCAAUUAUUUUAUUUAUUUGAGAUAGAAUCUCACUUUGUUGCCCAGGUCUGACUUUGCAGUGGCACAAGCAUGGCUCACCACAGUCUAGAUCUCCUGGGCUCAAGCAGUCCUCCCGCCUCAGCCUCCCUAGUAGCUGAUACCAUAGGCCUGCACCAUCGUGGCCAGCUUUUAAAAUUUAUUUUUGUAGAGACAGGGUCUCACUGUGCUGCCCAGGCUGGUCUCAAAUUCCCAAACUCAAAGGAUCGUCCUGCCUCAGCCACCUAAAGUGCUGGGAUUACAAGCAUGUGCCACCUUGCCUGACUCCAGUUGAUUUUUCAUUUUUAUUUUUAUUUUAUGUUUUGGGAAGGGUCUUGCUUUGUUGCCCAGGGUGGAGUGCACUUGUGCAAUCUCAGCUCCCCGCAGCCUUGACCUCCUGGGCCCGGGCAAUCCUCCCACCUCAACCUCCCAAAUAGCUGGGACUACAGGUACAUGCCACCAUGCUGGCUAAUUUUUAAUUUUCUGUAAAAACAGGAGUCUCACAGCCCAGCAUGGUGGCUCACGCCUGUAAUCCUAGUACUUUGGGAGGCUAGGGCAGGAGGACCACUUGAGACCAGCCUGGGCAACAGAGUGGGACCCCUCUCUCUUUUUAAAAUUAUUUUUUAUCUUUUUUUUUUUUUUUUUUUUAAACAGGGUCUUGUUCUGUCACCCAGGCUGGAGUGCAGUGGUGUGAUCUCAGCUCAGUGCAGCCUCAACUGCCAGGGCUCAAGUGAUCCUCCCAACUCAGCCUCCCGCAUAGCUGGGACUACAGGUGUGUGCCGCCAUGCCUGGCUAAUUUUUAAUUUUUUUUGUAGGGAUGGAGUUUCACCAUGUUGCCCAGUCUGGUCUGGAACUCCUGGGCUCAAGCUAUCCACCCAUCUCAGUCUCCUAAAGUGCUGGGACUACAGGCGUGAGCAACUGCACCUGGCUGAUCCAUCAUUUUUAAUAGUGAGAUAUUUGAAAUUUACUCUUCUAGUUAUUUUGAAAGAGAAACUAUGGCUGGGCAUGAUGGCUUAUGCCUACAAUCCCGCGCUUUGGGAGGCCAAGGCGGGUGGAUCAUCUGAGGUCAGGAGUUCUAGACCAGCCUGGCCAACAUAGUGAAACCCCUUCUCUACUAAAAAUACAAAAAUUAGCCGGGCGUGGUGGCGGGCGCCUGUAAUCCCAGCUACUUGGGGGGGCCGAGGCAGGAGAAUCGCUUGAAGCUGGGAGGCGGGAGGUUGCAGUGAGCCGAGAUCACGCCACUGCACUCCAGCCUGGGUGACAGAGUGAGACUCCAUCUCAGAAAAAAAAAAAAAAGAGAAACUACAUCGUUAUUAUUAUUUUGUUGUUGUUGUUGGUUUUGGCCAAACUUUUUAUUUAGUAUGCUGUAGUUGUUUAACACACACUUAAAUGGUCUUAUUGGGGGAGGGGAAAGGAGAGGUUCCUGCAGAUUCCCAAACAAAUGUCAGAAAGGCAAAAUAGCCAGCAUUCUCCAUUUGCUUUUUUGGGUUUACUGGGUGAAUAGCACUUCCCUUACAUAGGCAUCUGAUUUCAGGUUUUUCAUACUGAGAACAUUGAGAUUUCAGCUGGAAGACACCCUGAAAUCUUCUGAGUAGCAUACCUCAACCACCCUCUAAUAACUGACUUGUUUGUAUAGGCAGAACGAUUCAUCUCUCCAUUUUAGAUGGCUAGAUAAAACUACAUCAUUAUUGAUUAUAGUCACUCUAUUGUGCAGUAAAUCUCAAAGCCUUCUAUCUGAAAUUUUGCACCCUUUGAUUAACAAUUCCCCAUUCUCCUCGUCUCCACUCUCCCCAGCCUCUGGUAGCCAUCAUUCUACUAUCUGCUGCUAUGAAUUUGACAUGUUUGGAUUCCACAUAUAAGUGAGAUCAUGUAGUAUUUGUCUUUCUAUACCUGGCUUAUUUCACUUAGCAUAAUGUUUUCCAGAUUCAUCCAUCUUGUCACAAAUGAUGGUAUUUACCUACAUUUUUGUUUUUGGAGACAGGGUCUCACUUUGUUGUCCAGGUUGGAGUGCAGUGGUACAAACACAGCUCACUGCAACCUCAACCUUGACCAGGCUCAAGUGAUCCUCUCACCUCAGCCCCCCAAGUAGCUGGGACUACAGGCGUGAACCACCACACCCUGCUAAUUUUUUUUUGUUUUUGAUACGGAGCCUCACUCUGUCACCAGGAUGGAGUACAGUGGUGCCAUCUUGUCUCACUGCAACCUCUGCCUCCCAGGUUCAAGCAAUUCUCCUGCCUCAGCCUCCUGAGUAGCUGGGAUUACAGGUGCACACCACCACGGUCAGCUAAUUUUUGUAUUUUUAGUAGAGACAGGGUUUAACCAUGUUGGCCAGGAUGGUCUCAAUCUCUUGCCCUCGUGAUCCUCCCGCCUCAGCCUCCCAAAGUGCUGGGAUUACAGGCAUGAACCACCGUGCCCGGCCUGGACUUUUUUCUUUUUUUUGAGACAGGGUCUCACUAUGUUGCUCAGGCUGGAGUGCAGUGGCGCAGUCUCAGCUCACCGCAACCUCUGCCUCCCAGGUUCAAGCGAUUCUCCUGUUUCAGUCUCCCAAGAAGCUUGGGAUUACAGGUGCCUGCCACCAUGCCCAGUUAAUUUUUGUAUUUUUAGUAGAGACAGGGUUUCACCACAUUGGCCAGGCUGGUCUUGAACUCCUGACCUCAGGUGAUCUGCCUGCCUCAGCCUUCCAAAGUGCUGGGAUUACAUGCUUGAGCCAACGCGCCUAGCCAAAAAGGACUUCUAUAGGAAGGACAAAUAGGUUUCUCUAAAAAAGACAAAUGUGUUUUUAGAAGAACAAAUGGGAGACAUGCAAACAUUAUCACAAACCAAACUUUCUUAUAUAGGUGUGAGUGGUCUUUUUCAGGUUCAUAAAACUGCCAGAGAGGGGAUUUAUGGUAGGUUUAUUCUGGGUCUCUCCCCUGGGAGUAGAAGCCACCCCAAACAGGAAAUUUAUGUCCGUCCUCAUUUCUCAGAAGUUUCUACUUUUAAUCAAAUAAGGGAAGUCCCAAGGAAGCUUCUUUCUGCAUCUGUUCCAUCUCAAAUGUCUUCAGCUUAAAAUAAUCUUUAUACUAACUCCAGUGUUCUGAGUGGGACCCCACAAUUGUAUAUUUAAUCACCUUGUGAAACUUGACAAGUAUUUAACCCAACAUUUUCUGAUUUGGAAUAUUUUAGAGAAUGUGAUUCAUUAAUAAAUCAUUUAUCAAAAAAAGAGAUCAUUGGUUUGACAGUGCUGGGCUUACAGGCAUGGGCCACCAUGCCCGGCCAGCAGUAUGUAUUUUAGUUGACUGGCAAACAGACAAUUGUUCCCUUUUUUCCUUUUUUAAAUUUCAAGCCUUGUCACUGUGUCAUAAGACAAUUGUUCAUGAUGUCAUAAAUGUAAUUUUUACUUCAAUAAACUAUAAUACACUUGUAACAUUCCAGGCUCUUUUUAUUGUGUGUGUGUGUGUGUGUUCUUUUUUAAAUUUUUAAUUAUUGGCUGGGCACAGUGUCUCAUGCCUGUAAUCCUAGCACUUUGGGACGCCAAAGCAGGUGAAUCACUUGAG
This 10272-nucleotide long non-coding RNA is filed under the name Homo sapiens (human). Its description in RNAcentral is "non-protein coding lnc-KDM4C-5:5". The record is from RNAcentral. Lineage: Eukaryota; Metazoa; Chordata; Mammalia; Primates; Hominidae.